UUUUCCCGAAGUUGCGAAUCUG
This 22-nucleotide microRNA is filed under the name Euprymna scolopes. RNAcentral describes it as "Esc-Mir-12549_5p (mature (guide))". The record is from RNAcentral. RNAcentral also lists the same sequence under 2 other names. Lineage: Eukaryota; Metazoa; Mollusca; Cephalopoda; Sepiida; Sepiolidae.